RNAcentral lists this ribosomal RNA (465 nucleotides) under Vreelandella stevensii. Its description in RNAcentral is "partial 16S ribosomal RNA". It matches the Rfam family "Bacterial small subunit ribosomal RNA", at positions 338 to 795 of the family's 1533-position model. The record is from RNAcentral. Lineage: Bacteria; Pseudomonadati; Pseudomonadota; Gammaproteobacteria; Oceanospirillales; Halomonadaceae.
CCUACGGGGUGCAGCAGUGGGGAAUAUUGGACAAUGGGCGAAAGCCUGAUCCAGCCAUGCCGCGUGUAUGAAGAAGGCCUUCGGGUUGUAAAGCACUUUCAGUGGGGAAGAAAGCCUUGGGGCUAAUACCCUCGAGGAAGGACAUCACCCACAGAAGAAGCACCGGCUAACUCCGUGCCAGCAGCCGCGGUAAUACGGAGGGUGCGAGCGUUAAUCGGAAUUACUGGGCGUAAAGCGCGCGUAGGCGGUCUGAUAAGCCGGUUGUGAAAGCCCCGGGCUCAACCUGGGAACGGCAUCCGGAACUGUCAGGCUAGAGUGCAGGAGAGGAAGGUAGAAUUCCCGGUGUAGCGGUGAAAUGCGUAGAGAUCGGGAGGAAUACCAGUGGCGAAGGCGGCCUUCUGGACUGACACUGACGCUGAGGUGCGAAAGCGUGGGUAGCAAACAGGAUUAGAUACCCGGGUAGUC